GUGUCAUGGGAAGUCAGAGUCUAUAAUGACAGUAACUGAAAUCAAUAACUAAAGUGACACACGAUGCACAGAAGCGAAGCACUGAUCUACUAAAGAGAACUGGACAACUAAGCUGACGUUGUGUCUUUGAUGAUGGUAUGCCAGAUGGAUGCACAAGGAGACACUUCAUGUUCUUAUGAAAUGUGUGAAGCUUGGUGAUAUUGUACAGCUCAUCAUAUCCAGAGGUGACGAAGCGGAAGUAGAAGCAGACAAUGGCC
This is a long non-coding RNA of Polypterus senegalus (gray bichir), 257 nucleotides long. RefSeq lists it as uncharacterized. The transcript has 3 exons. The record is from RefSeq and is a predicted model, not a curated record. Lineage: Eukaryota; Metazoa; Chordata; Cladistia; Polypteriformes; Polypteridae.